UUGAUCAUGGCUCAGGAUGAACGCUAGCUACAGGCUUAACACAUGCAAGUCGAGGGGCAGCAUGAUCAAAGCUUGCUUUGAUUGAUGGCGACCGGCGCACGGGUGAGUAACGCGUAUCCAACCUUCCCUAUAGUAGAGGAUAGCCCGGCGAAAGUCGGAUUAAUACUCUAUGUUUUCCAAUGCAGACAUCUAAAAUGGAACAAAGGUUUACCGCUAUAGGAUGGGGAUGCGUCUGAUUAGGUUGUUGGCGGGGUAACGGCCCACCAAGCCUACGAUCAGUAGGGGUUCUGAGAGGAAGGUCCCCCACAUUGGAACUGAGACACGGUCCAAACUCCUACGGGAGGCAGCAGUGAGGAAUAUUGGUCAAUGGGCGAGAGCCUGAACCAGCCAAGUAGCCGUGCAGGAUGACGGCCCUAUGGGUUGUAAACUGCUUUUAUAUAGGGAUAAAGUGACCCACGUGUGGGUUUUUGUAGGUACUAUAUGAAUAAGGACCGGCUAAUUCCGUGCCAGCCGCCGC
RNAcentral lists this ribosomal RNA (517 nucleotides) under uncultured bacterium. RNAcentral's name for it is "bacterial SSU rRNA". It matches the Rfam family "Bacterial small subunit ribosomal RNA", at positions 13 to 518 of the family's 1533-position model. The record is from RNAcentral.